This 164-nucleotide ribosomal RNA is filed under the name uncultured bacterium. RNAcentral's name for it is "partial 16S rRNA". It matches the Rfam family "Bacterial small subunit ribosomal RNA", at positions 355 to 511 of the family's 1533-position model. The record is from RNAcentral.
UAGGGAAUCUUCCACAAUGGACGCAAGUCUGAUGGAGCAACGCCGCGUGAGUGAAGAAGGUCUUCGGAUCGUAAAACUCUGUUGUUAGAGAAGAACACGAGUGAGAGUAACUGUUCAUACGUUGACGGUAUUUAACCAGAAAGUCACGGCUAACUACGUGCUAG